UCGGGAAUUUUGGGCAAUGGGCGAAAGCCUGACCCAGCAACGCCGCGUGAAGGAUGAAGUCUCUCGGGAUGUAAACUUCGUAAGAAUAGGAAGAAUAAAUGACGGUACUAUUUGUAAGGUCCGGCUAACUACGUGCCAGCAGCCGCGGUAAUACGUAGGGACCAAGCGUUGUUCGGAUUUACUGGGCGUAAAGGGCGCGUAGGCGGCGUGGUAAGUCACUUGUGAAAUCUCCGAGCUUAACUCGGAACGGUCAAGUGAUACUGCUGUGCUAGAGUACAGAAGGGGCAACCGGAAUUCUUGGUGUAGCGGUGAAAUGCGUAGAUAUCAAGAGGAACACCUGAGGUGAAGACGGGUUGCUGGGCUGAUACUGACGCUGAGGCGCGAAAGCUAGGGUAGCAAACGGGAUUAGAUACCCGCGUAGUCCCUG
This 427-nucleotide ribosomal RNA is filed under the name uncultured bacterium. RNAcentral's name for it is "bacterial SSU rRNA". It matches the Rfam family "Bacterial small subunit ribosomal RNA", at positions 355 to 799 of the family's 1533-position model. The record is from RNAcentral.